CUCUAGCUGACGAGUCCCAAAUAGGAUAAAACGCGUGUCCUGGAU
Schistosoma margrebowiei is the source of this 45-nucleotide non-coding RNA. NCBI's taxonomy places the organism in Eukaryota, Metazoa, Platyhelminthes, Trematoda, Strigeidida, Schistosomatidae. The record is from Rfam.